AUUUUAUGUGUGUGAAUAGUUUAUUAAGAAUAUGAGUUUCACACAUAUAAGGUACAAGUUGGUAAAUAAAGUAUUUGACAGAAUGACUAUAUUUUAAAGUAUACAAAGGGUUAAGUGAAUAAAUUAAUUGUGGGAACUAUUGUGAUGAGUUAAUGGGCCAAGUUCAUAGUUCAUUUAACACCCUAUGUCACAUGGCCCGUAUAUAUGAGUGAGUUUAACUAUUUAAGUGAGUAGGGUUCCUAAGUGUUAAGGGAAAAAUUAGAAAUUUCAACCAAGGAGCGGUUUGGCAGAGGAUACGGCAUCACAAGAUUCGAUUUUCGUACUUCAGACUUUGUCCGUUCGGAAGCACUUCAGAAGGAAAAGGCUUUGGCGUGAAAGUUCGUGGCACCUGUUCGGCAUUGAGAGUUAUUUUCAGGUGAUGUUCGGAGUCUCAUGACCGUUUCGAGACAUUCAUCAAAGGCAUUUAGGUGAGCUAUUUGAGAUCUUGCAACCCAGAGUCUCUCCUUAGAUUUUUGUUGUUCUCUAUCCUUAAACAGAAGUCGUAUCCAGUUUGAGUCUAUUAUCUACUUCCAAUUGUAAACUCCUUAGAAGCUCUUGUACGAGUCUAGACCAGGUUUUGAGAAUUUAUUAUAAUGAAAGUAUU
This is a long non-coding RNA of Lycium barbarum (goji berry), 643 nucleotides long. RefSeq lists it as uncharacterized. The record is from RefSeq and is a predicted model, not a curated record. Lineage: Eukaryota; Viridiplantae; Streptophyta; Magnoliopsida; Solanales; Solanaceae. The transcript is spliced from 3 exons.